This 108-nucleotide ribosomal RNA is filed under the name Octodon degus (degu). Lineage: Eukaryota; Metazoa; Chordata; Mammalia; Rodentia; Octodontidae. The record is from RNAcentral.
GGCUGUGGCCAUACCAUCCUUAAUGCACCUGAUCUCGUCUGAUCUCAGAAGCUAAGCAGGGUCGGUCCUGGUUAGUACUUGGAUGGGAGAAAGUAAAGUUUCUAGCUC